GACGAACGCUGGCGGCGUGCUUAACACAUGCAAGUCGAACGGAAAGGCGAGGAGCUUGCGGGGUGCUCGAGUGGCGAACGGGUGAGUAACACGUGAGUAACCUGCACUUGACUGUGGGAUAAAUUCAGGAGACUGGGGCGAAUACAGGGUAGGAGCUAUUGCAGCAUGGGGGGGGAUGGUGAGUGUCGGCGGUUGGGGAUGGACUCGCGGCUUAUGAGCUUGAUGGUGGGGUAGUGGCGUACCAGGGCUAUGACGGAUAGCCGGCCUGAGAGCGUGACCGGCCACAUUGGGCCUGAGAUACGGCCCAGACUCCUACGGGAGGCAGCAGUGGGGAAUAUGGCGCAAUGGGCGGAAGCCUGAUGCAGCAACGCCGCGUGCGGGAUGACGGCCUUCGGGUUGUAAACCGCUUUCGCCGGUGACGAAGAGUGAGUGACGGUAAUGGGUAAAGAAGCACCGGCUAACUACGUG
This 468-nucleotide ribosomal RNA is filed under the name uncultured bacterium. Its description in RNAcentral is "partial 16S ribosomal RNA". It matches the Rfam family "Bacterial small subunit ribosomal RNA", at positions 28 to 507 of the family's 1533-position model. The record is from RNAcentral.